RNAcentral lists this long non-coding RNA (3648 nucleotides) under Sus scrofa (pig). Its description in RNAcentral is "lncRNA (ENSSSCG00030017199.1)". Lineage: Eukaryota; Metazoa; Chordata; Mammalia; Artiodactyla; Suidae. The record is from RNAcentral.
AGUCGCACUUCUGCUAAAGAGGGAGGAAGAGCCAUUCGCUGGUGACCCUGUGAUUAAGGAUCCCGCGCCGUCACUGCGGGGGCUUGAGUCGCUGCUGUGGGGCAGGCUUGACCCCUGGCCCGGGAACUUCUGCAUGCUGUGGGUGUGGCCAAAAGGGGGGGUGAAUAACGGGCGAGGGGCGGGGGUGUGUGAAGGCAGCGGAGAUGGGAGUUCCCUUGGUGGCUCAGUGGAUUACACACUGGACUCGUACCCCUGAGGACGCAGGUUCAAUCCCUGGCCGAGCUCCGUGGAUGAAGGAUCUGGCAUUGCCGUGAGCUUGGUGUACAUCACAGAUGCGGCUUGGAUUCAGCAUUGCUGUGGCUGGGGCGAAGGCCGGCAGUUGUAGCUCUGAUUCCACCCCUAGCCUGGGAACUUCCAUAUGCCAUGGCGGUGGCCCUAAAAAGAAAAAAAGAAAAAAAAAAAAAAAAGGCAGCAGAGCUGGACGUUUCGGGACUCUCAGAGGUUGUUUAUGGGCGUGGUGCGCUAUUACUACAGGCCGCACACCCAGACAACACUGUGUGAGGGUUGCUGCUUACCUGGAAACUCCGGGCACCAGGACUCUAACUGCAAGAGUUAGAAGGGGUCCACCCUGGGUAUCUGGCUAUAAUAAGAGCUGGCGGCUGUCUGUGACCCAGGACUCGAGGAAGAGAGCGAACAAAAGGAAGUAUCGAGAAUGCCUGAACCCACGCGAGGACAUAAGGCCAAUCCAGCUACUCCCAGCUAACUUAUAAUUUUAUGCCACACAUGGUGCAGAAGGAUAUACGAAGGAGUUCUGGCUUAACCUCCCACAUUCUCCUCCCUAAAGAUUGAGAAAAACUCUUAGCCAGGGUUGGCUAAGAGAAUGUUCUGGUCUGGUCUGAAGUCUUCUACAUUUUGGGUUUUCAAGUUCCGGCGAUUUUCCUGAGCAUAUUCCACGUAGGUCCUUGGCACAAACCUCCGGCAGGGUUAUGACUCUCCAUGGGAUUGGUUCAAAUGUCACUUCACGCACUAAACAGUCCGUAAUAGUGUCUCUGAGGAGGUCUGCUCUCUGCCCGUGACUCCUGACUGCGGCUUUGCAAAGGGUUUCCUCCCAGAAAGUCUGCAGACCCAUGGUGCUGGUCAGUUGCAUUUGGCUUCUGCCCAUUUGCGUCCGACGAGACAAUACUCAGCUUCUUUGGGUGGCAAGAGUGACCUCUUUACCUGGGACCAUCCUCUGAGGCAGCGCAGGUGUGCUGGGACCCUUCGUGGGUGGUCCCUCAUGAGGUUUUAGGGAGGAACCGCUGGGGGGCUUCCUGUUCACCAUUUCACCCUCAGCAUCGUGGGGCUGAACGUCUUUGGGUGCUAGAGACCCAAAGAAUCCAGGUCCUUAAAAGAAAACCAUCCAGGUGUUCCCUCCUUCCUUCCUUCCUCUGUAAUGGCUGCACCCCCGGCAUACGGAGGUUCCCGGGCUAGGAGCCAAAUCGGAGCUACAGCUGCCGUCCUACGCCACAGCCACAGCAGCACACGGGAUCCCAGCCGCGUCUUCCACCUACACCACAGCUCACGCAGCCCUGGAUCCUUAACCCAUGGAGCGAGGCCAGGGAUCAAACCUGCAUCCUCACGGAGACAACAUCGGGUCCUUCACCUGCUGAGCCACAAUGGGAACUCCCAUCUAGGUUUUGAUAGUCAGGAACUAAAUUCAAUGCAUUGAAUUUCAUUAUCGCGGGAACACCUUUUCGGUGCUGGGUGAUGUAUUAGGAGUCUCACAUACACACGCCCAUCAAGUUCUCAGAAUAUCUUUAUGAGGCAGGUAUUAUAUGCACAUCUUACAGAUGACGAAACUGAGACAAUUACUUGGCUUAUACAGAGUCAAGUUCACACAGUCCCUGGGAGAUCAGAUCUAGGACUUAAAAAAAUUGGGGAUGGUUGGUGAAAACAUAUAAAAUUGACCAUCUUAACUAUGUUAAGUUAUACACCAGUAGCGCUACCUCUAUUCACAUAACGUGCAAAAGAUUUUUGGCAUUUUUUCAUCUUGCAAAACUGAAAUUCUAUACCCACUGAACAAAUCCUCUUCUCCCCUCCCUGCAGCCUCUGGCAACCACUAGGCUACUUUCUGUUUCUGUGAGCUGGACCACUCUGCAUACCGCCUAUAAGUGGAAUCAUACCUACUACUUUUUGUGUGACUGGCUUGUUUCACUGAGCAUAACAUCCUCAAGAACCAUCCAUACUGCAGCAAGUGUCUGACUCUCAUUCCUUUGGUAAUAUUCCAUUGUACUGGCAUAUUUUCUUACAGAUCUAGGAUUUGAAUCCAAGUUUGCGAGGCUCCGAAACUAUCCUAUUUAUGCUCCUUUGUGCCUGCACCACGUCACCUUGUCAGUGCUUUAAGGGGGGAUUGUCAAGUUCACGUACAUUGAAUGCAAGAGAAGCGAGAUGGUGGUGCCCUGGCUCUGUUCCUGGCGCUCUGAGCUCAGGGGUGGAGUGGCAGAGGGCUGACAGGCCCCCCACUGACCUACAGCCUUCUAGGGGGCACCUGUCUUUCUCAUCACACAGAGCCCACCUCCCCAUCCUCUGGUUCACGCCCCCCCCACCGCUGCCCCCGUCCCCGUCAGCACACGCCCUGGCCUCUCCUAUCAGUCACGUACCAAGGUCUCCAGCUGAAUAUAAAUAGCCCCGAGACCUCAAACUCCCCACCCUUCCUCACCCAGCCUUCCCUCUUGCCCAACUUCUCUGUCCUCAUGGGUUGUGCCAGUGUCCUGUUGCUUCUGCAAGUCUGAGGCUUCGGUAAUCUCUGCCGCCUCUCUGGUUUUCGUCACCCACUGUGGGUGCCAAGCACGGCAGCUUCCUCCUCUAUAGUCUGUGUCUUUCCCUUCCCCGGAAUCCCAUCCAAAUCCCUUGACCGGGACCAGAUGGCUUUGCACCUGCAACAGGGUUCUUCCUAUGGGCCCCCAGCACCCUCCCACCCACUCCUCCCCGGCUCCAAGGACUGGUCCUGAACCGUCUGACCUGUACCCAUUUCUCCUGCUGGGCCAGGAUUCUGCUCUCUUGGGCCCUCUAGAAUCAUCUCAUCAAAUCCAUCUCAACGCUACCCUGCUCAGUUCUUUCCCCCAGCUGCUCACCCACAUCCUCCUUGGUCAGCACUGUUCUGCUCAAGAGUCUUUCCUGGGAGUUCCUGUUGUGGCUCAGCAGAAACGAAUCUGACGAGUAUCCAUGAGGAUGCAGGUUUGAUCCCUGGCCUCGCUCAGAGGGUUAAGAAUCCGGCGUUGCUGUGACCUGUGGUGCAGGUCGAAGACGAGGCUCGGAUCCGGCAGGGCUGUGGUGUAGGCUGGCAGCUACAGCUCCGAUGCGGCCCCUGGCCUGGGAACCUCCAGGGUUAAACCUCCAUAUCUUAAAAAGACAAAAACAAAAAAAGUCUUUCCCGGCCCCACCUCACAUUCACCUCCAAGUCGUGGACACUCACCCAUGCCUCCCGGGUCCUGGGCGGCCUCUCUUGUCCACUGCCAAAAGCCCCCACUCUCUGCUUCUCCCUCCCCGUCCCUGGUGCAUUUCAUCACACUGUCUCACUUGUCAUUUCUGACCUUCCUCAGGUUUUGAUGCAAUUAACCUGUGCCUUUAUAUCAGAAUAAACUCGAUGUGGUUUUAUCGUUCUUUUCA